UGCGCAGGCGGUUGAGUAAGACAGAUGUGAAAUCCCCGAGCUUAACUCGGGAAUGGCAUAUGUGACUGCUCGACUAGAGUGUGUCAGAGGGAGGUGGAAUUCCACGUGUAGCAGUGAAAUGCGUAGAUAUGUGGAAGAACACCGAUGGCGAAGGCAGCCUCCUGGGACAUAACUGACGCUCAGGCAUGAAAGCGUGGGAGCAAACA
This 206-nucleotide ribosomal RNA is filed under the name uncultured bacterium. Its description in RNAcentral is "partial 16S ribosomal RNA". It matches the Rfam family "Bacterial small subunit ribosomal RNA", at positions 568 to 774 of the family's 1533-position model. The record is from RNAcentral.